CCCUCUUUUUCCCGCUUUCCUCGGAUUUACUGGGCGUAAAGCGUGAGUAGGUGGCUCGCUAAGUCGAUUGUGAAAGCCCUGGGCUCAACCUGGGAAUUGCAGUCGAUACUGGAGAGCUCGAGUUCGGUAGAGGGUGACGGAAUUCCCGGUGUAGCGGUGAAAUGCGUAGAUAUCGGGAGGAACAUCGAUGGCGAAGGCAAUCACCUGGGCCUGAACUGACACUGAGACACGAAAGCGUGGGUAGCAAACAGGA
RNAcentral lists this ribosomal RNA (253 nucleotides) under uncultured prokaryote. Its description in RNAcentral is "partial 16S ribosomal RNA". It matches the Rfam family "Bacterial small subunit ribosomal RNA", at positions 547 to 777 of the family's 1533-position model. The record is from RNAcentral.